GGAGGAGUGCCGGAGCGGUUUAACGGCGCCGCCUCGAAAGCGGACGGCUCGCAAAAGCGGGCACGCAGGUUCGAAUCCUGCCUCCUCCG
This 89-nucleotide transfer RNA is filed under the name Candidatus Berkelbacteria bacterium. RNAcentral describes it as "tRNA-Ser". It matches the Rfam family "tRNA". Rfam says of the family: Transfer RNA (tRNA) molecules are approximately 80 nucleotides in length. Their secondary structure includes four short double-helical elements and three loops (D, anti-codon, and T loops). Further hydrogen bonds mediate the characteristic L-shaped molecular structure. tRNAs have two regions of fundamental functional importance: the anti-codon, which is responsible for specific mRNA codon recognition, and the 3' end, to which the tRNAs corresponding amino acid is attached (by aminoacyl-tRNA synthetases). tRNAs cope with the degeneracy of the genetic code in two manners: having more than one tRNA (with a specific anti-codon) for a particular amino acid; and 'wobble' base-pairing, i.e. permitting non-standard base-pairing at the 3rd anti-codon position. The record is from RNAcentral. Lineage: Bacteria; Candidatus Berkelbacteria.